UCCCUGGUGGUCCAGUGGUUAGGACUCUGCUCUUCCACUGCAGGGGGCCCAGAUUCCAUCCCUGGUCAGGGAA
Ovis aries (sheep) is the source of this 73-nucleotide non-coding RNA. NCBI's taxonomy places the organism in Eukaryota, Metazoa, Chordata, Mammalia, Artiodactyla, Bovidae. The record is from Rfam.